GGGACUGUAGCUUAGUGGUAGAGUGCUUGCCUAGCAUGCAUGAAGCCCUGGGUUCAAUUCCUCAGUACCA
Molecule: transfer RNA, 70 nt
Filed under: Dipodomys ordii (Ord's kangaroo rat)
Lineage: Eukaryota; Metazoa; Chordata; Mammalia; Rodentia; Heteromyidae
Rfam family: tRNA
About the family: Transfer RNA (tRNA) molecules are approximately 80 nucleotides in length.
Source: Rfam by way of RNAcentral